CGCUCGCCGGAAGACCAAGGGUUCCUGUCCAACGUUAAUCGGGGCAGGGUGAGUCGACCCCUAAGGCGAGGCCGAAAGGCGUAGUCGAUGGGAAACAGGUUAAUAUUCCUGUACUUGGUGUUACUGCGAAGGGGGGACGGAGAAGGCUAUGUUGGCCGGGCGACGGUUGUCCCGGUUUAAGCGUGUAGGCUGGUUUUCCAGGCAAAUCCGGAAAAUCAAGGCUGAGGCGUGAUGACGAGGCACUACGGUGCUGAAGCGACAAAUGCCCUGCUUCCAGGAAAAGCCUCUAAGCAUCAGGUAACAUCAAAUCGUACCCCAAACCGACACAGGUGGUCAGGUAGAGAAUACCAAGGCGCUUGAGAGAACUCGGGUGAAGGAACUAGGCAAAAUGGUGCCGUAACUUCGGGAGAAGGCACGCUGAUAUGUAGGUGAAGCGACUUGCUCGUGGAGCUGAAAUCAGUCGAAGAUACCAGCUGGCUGCAACUGUUUAUUAAAAACACAGCACUGUGCAAACACGAAAGUGGACGUAUACGGUGUGACGCCUGCCCGGUGCCGGAAGGUUAAUUGAUGGGGUUAGCGGUAACGCGAAGCUCUUGAUCGAAGCCCCGGUAAACGGCGGCCGUAACUAUAACGGUCCUAAGGUAGCGAAAUUCCUUGUCGGGUAAGUUCCGACCUGCACGAAUGGCGUAAUGAUGGCCAGGCUGUCUCCACCCGAGACUCAGUGAAAUUGAACUCGCUGUGAAGAUGCAGUGUACCCGCGGCAAGACGGAAAGACCCCGUGAACCUUUACUAUAGCUUGACACUGAACAUUGAGCCUUGAUGUGUAGGAUAGGUGGGAGGCUUUGAAGUGUGGACGCCAGUCUGCAUGGAGCCGACCUUGAAAUACCACCCUUUAAUGUUUGAUGUUCUAACGUGGGCCCCUUACCGGGGUUGCGGACAGUGUCUGGUGGGUAGUUUGACUGGGGCGGUCUCCUCCUAAAGAGUAACGGAGGAGCACGAAGGUUGGCUAAUCCUGGUCGGACAUCAGGAGGUUAGUGCAAUGGCAUAAGCCAGCUUGACUGCGAGCGUGACGGCGCGAGCAGGUGCGAAAGCAGGUCAUAGUGAUCCGGUGGUUCUGAAUGGAAGGGCCAUCGCUCAACGGAUAAAAGGUACUCCGGGGAUAACAGGCUGAUACCGCCCAAGAGUUCAUAUCGACGGCGGUGUUUGGCACCUCGAUGUCGGCUCAUCACAUCCUGGGGCUGAAGUAGGUCCCAAGGGUAUGGCUGUUCGCCAUUUAAAGUGGUACGCGAGCUGGGUUUAGAACGUCGUGAGACAGUUCGGUCCCUAUCUGCCGUGGGCGCUGGAGAACUGAGGGGGGCUGCUCCUAGUACGAGAGGACCGGAGUGGACGCAUCACUGGUGUUCGGGUUGUCAUGCCAAUGGCACUGCCCGGUAGCUAAAUGCGGAAGAGAUAAGUGCUGAAAGCAUCUAAGCACGAAACUUGCCCCGAGAUGAGUUCUCCCUGACUCCUUGAGAGUCCUGAAGGAACGUUGAAGACGACGACGUUGAUAGGCCGGGUGUGUAAGCGCAGCGAUGCGUUGAGCUAACCGGUACUAAUGAACCGUGAGGCUUAACCUU
Molecule: ribosomal RNA, 1616 nt
Filed under: Escherichia coli
Lineage: Bacteria; Pseudomonadati; Pseudomonadota; Gammaproteobacteria; Enterobacterales; Enterobacteriaceae
Description: partial 23S ribosomal RNA
Rfam family: Bacterial large subunit ribosomal RNA
Source: RNAcentral